This 443-nucleotide ribosomal RNA is filed under the name uncultured bacterium. RNAcentral's name for it is "partial 16S ribosomal RNA". It matches the Rfam family "Bacterial small subunit ribosomal RNA", at positions 338 to 795 of the family's 1533-position model. The record is from RNAcentral.
CCUACGGGGGGCAGCAGUGGGGGAUAUUGGACAAUGGGGGAAACCCUGAUCCAGCGACGCCGCGUGAGUGAAGAAGUAUUUCGGUAUGUAAAGCUCUGUCAGCAGGGAAGAAAGAAAUGACGGUACCUGACCAAGAAGCCCCGGCUAACUACGUGCCAGCAGCCGCGGUAAUACGUAGGGGGCAAGCGUUAUCCGGAAUUACUGGGUGUAAAGGGAGCGUAGACGGCAGCGCAAGUCUGGAGUGAAAUGCCGGGGCCCAACCCCGGAACUGCUCUGGAAACUGUGAAGCUGGAGUGCAGGAGAGGUAAGCGGAAUUCCUGGUGUAGCGGUGAAAUGCGUAGAUAUCAGGAGGAACACCGGCGGCGAAGGCGGCUUACUGGACUGUAACUGACGUUGAGGCUCGAAGGCGUGGGGAGCAAACAGGAUUAGAUACCCGUGUAGUC